Long non-coding RNA from Dicentrarchus labrax (European seabass), 1857 nucleotides. RefSeq lists it as uncharacterized. The record is from RefSeq and is a predicted model, not a curated record. The transcript has 3 exons. NCBI's taxonomy places the organism in Eukaryota, Metazoa, Chordata, Actinopteri, Moronidae.
AGGAGGGUCGUCCUAGAUGUUAUAGGAAGCAUGAUUUUGUUGGGGAAAUGCUCGCAUGUGGUGUUUUUUACCACCUCCUUGUUGCUGUAGGAGACUCAAUGAGUGCAGUUUGCACCAAAGAGGCUAAAGACAAACUUGUGCACUAAAGUUUUGGGGGUGGGGGGGCGAACAAAAUGAGAUGAAAUGUAAUUUUCUGCUUCAUUGUUUGAAUAAACUGAAACAAAAAUAUUCUUCACAGAUGAUCUUACCGAAAACUGGAGAUCUAAUGGACUCCUAUUAUCUCUUUUACAGAUUGACAGCUUUUACCCGCACAAAGAUUCACACACAGAUCUGCCUACAACCAAUUGGACUCCUUUCCUAUAAAAAAGCUACGUAAAUGUCGAGAGAACCGGUGUUUCCCUGAGUGCGGAGGGGCAGCUGUUCCUCCUCCUGCCUGCCGGUGAAUAGCAGCUUCCUGCCGGCCGCUGCCGCUGCUGCAGCCGCUGUCAGGAGUUCGGUUUCCCCUCACGUCCUGCUCGGCUCCCCGGCGGCGCGGCUUCGCGCCGAGCACAACAGGCAAGUCGUACAAAAACUGCUCUUGAGAGUGGAUGAACAAGCCUCAAAUGGAACCUGAGAAGAGGAAAAAAAAGAGGAGAAACAGGAGAGGAGAGGAAAGGAGGAGGGGAGGGAGAAAAUCAAUUUUCCCAGACAGAGGCAGGCUGGUCUAAUGGAGGUCUAAAAGAAGAGGAGGAGGAGAGGACAUAUUUUCCUCUGAUUACCUCCUGUAUAGCCUCCCUGGCAAACCUUGAAAGCUAGCAUCGCUACAGCGGCCUCGCUCAUCCGACCUUUUUUCACAGAAGGUAUGGAGUCUAGUUGCUUAUUCCACUCGGCAGCAGUCAGGCUUUGAGGUGGAGGACACACACACUGCAGCUAAAAACAUCCCAACAUGCAAAAUGACAAGGAAGUCAAUCAAACUGAAAGUAGAUCAUGUCUUCAUGAGCAGAAAUGCACAUUUUUCUCUUUACUCUGAAUUCUCAACAAUGGUAGAACAUUUUGAAGCCACAUCUAAGUUAAUUUCUCCUUUUUCAAUCUCUAAACUGCCCUUUGUAGAAGUUAUGUAACCCCUAUAUUUCGGAGGGAGAAAAUGAACUGGAUUAAAGGGAUAAAGGUUUCCAUUUGGCUGAGAUGAAUCAUUUAUAAAAUAUAAAGGAAGGAAAUUUGUCAUUAGUGUCUCUGCCAAAUGAAGGGAGAUAUCUAGAGUACCCCUUUGCUUGUGAUUCUCUGCUACAGCGGCCUCUCUGAAGUCAUAUGACCAGGUCGCUAUGUUCAAUUUCCUGCUACAGGCUUGAUUAUUAUAAAUUGGUAAGUGAAGUGGACAUUUAGUGCAAUGCAGAAAAUGCAGGCAGUGAUUUGUUCCAGUUCUAACUGAGUGAAUGUUAAAUCUUGUUUAUGGCUCUCCUCAUAAAGUAAAAUGAAUGUACGAUGGUAGAAAAUUUACUGGAAAAUUACCAAACUGAUGCCUGGAAAAAGGGAGCAAUAAAUCUAAGAUUUUUUGAUGUAAAACUUUGUAUAAACCGAUGGAGCAACAUUUGUCCCAGUUAGAGCAUGUGUGACAGCUUCGCUUUUUAAAUAAAUGAUAGUGAGUUCAAAUCUGUUGCCUCAUGUUGCCACAAGCCAUGUGAAGUUAAGAGUCUAAAAGGCUGUGACCUGCAGUAGAACCAGAAAAGAGAAAAAAAAGGGACCAAAACAGGGACAGAUGUGGCUCCAAAACCACAAAACCCCUCCAACAGCCACUGUGUGUCUACUUCUGUAGCUUUGUGAUGUGCUCAUUAAACCUGUGAAUGUUCAACCAGCUAUUAAACGUUUCAAUGAACUUUU